Molecule: ribosomal RNA, 429 nt
Filed under: Acidobacteriota bacterium
Lineage: Bacteria; Pseudomonadati; Acidobacteriota
Description: Acidobacteria bacterium partial 16S ribosomal RNA
Rfam family: Bacterial small subunit ribosomal RNA
Source: RNAcentral
UGGGGAAUUUUGGACAAUGGGGGAAACCCUGAUCCAGCCAUCCCGCGUGUGCGAUGAAGGCCUUCGGGUUGUAAAGCACUUUUGGCAGGAAAGAAACGUCAUGGGUUAAUACCCCGUGAAACUGACGGUACCUGCAGAAUAAGCACCGUCUAACUACGUGCCAGCAGCCGCGGUAAUACGUAGGGUGCAAGCGUUAAUCGGAAUUACUGGGCGUAAAGCGUGCGCAGGCGGUUCGGAAAGAAAGAUGUGAAAUCCCAUAGCUCAACUUUGGACCUGCAUUUUUAACUACCGAGCUAGUGUGUGUCAGAGCGACGUGGAAUUCCGCGUGUCGCCGUGCAAUUCGUAGAUAUUCGGAGGAACACCGAUGGCGAAGGCAGCCUCCUGGGAUAACACUGACGCUCAUGCACGCAAGCGUGGGGAGCAAACAGG